This 456-nucleotide ribosomal RNA is filed under the name uncultured bacterium. RNAcentral's name for it is "bacterial SSU rRNA". It matches the Rfam family "Bacterial small subunit ribosomal RNA", at positions 340 to 786 of the family's 1533-position model. The record is from RNAcentral.
UACGGAAGGCAGCAGUGGGGAAUAUUGCACAAUGGGCGCAAGCCUGAUGCAGCCAUGCCGCGUGUAUGAAGAAGGCCUUCGGGUUGUAAAGUACUUUCAGCGGGGAGGAAGGCGAUGCGGUUAAUAACCGCGUCGAUUGACGUUACCCGCAGAAGAAGCACCGGCUAACUCCGUGCCAGCAGCCGCGGUAAUACGGAGGGUGCAAGCGUUAAUCGGAAUUACUGGGCGUAAAGCGCACGCAGGCGGUCUGUUAAGUCAGAUGUGAAAUCCCCGGGCUUAACCUGGGAACUGCAUUUUGAAACUGGCAGGCUUGAGUCUUGUAGAGGGGGUAGAAUUCCAGGUGUAGCGGUGAAAUGCGUAGAGAUCUGGAGGAAUACCGGUGGCGAAGGCGGCCCCUGGGACAAAGACUGACGCUCAGGGUGCGAAAGCGUGGGGAGCAAACAGGGAUUAGAUACC